UCUGCACUUUAGGAAAGAAAACGCAGACACGCCUCCUCACCUGGAGCCUGCUUUUAUUUACUCACCUUAACUCCCCGUCCAGCGCUUGUAUCACAGCCGCAAAACUCCGGCUGGUUUGGUUCAGGUACAGAUAGCAGGUCCGCAGACUCAAACUCAUGGACUCCUGGCAAAAGAGACAGAAGAACGUCGUGUGUCGGUAAAAGCCUGAGGGUCUAAGGACGCUGGAGGGACGGGCAGCCUCCUGCAGGCCCCGCUCCCCAAGCCUCCAGCUCGGUAGGAGGGACCGAGGAGCGGUCCCGCAGCCUCGCGGCGUUACCGAGAGAGAGCGCUUGAACACGGACAGAGAGACUGGACACUUGCAGCAUACUCCGGCCAUACAAAUAACCGCACAGUACGACCGAGAUUCUACAAAACGACUCUGUCCAUGUCGACGCCACGGCUGGUGGGGACAAUUUGAAACAUGUAGAGGACAGGCGAGUUGAGGGGUCGAAUAAGGUGAAAAACGUUUAGGUGGACGCCUGGAAGAGCUAAAUCAAGCCCUCCACUGGACUGGAUUUAGAACAGUCUAACCCUUCACUGUGUAUGGGAGCGGGGUCUGUGCACAGCGUUUGUAGAUCUGUUAUUAUGAUUACUCCGCUCCUCCCACUCUAAAAGCUGUAGGCCACGUUUUAUAAUCUGAAAAUAAAUGUGUCUAGUGCUAAACCCAAUAUACAUUUCUGUAUCAGAACAGAAACAGAACUGUAUAGGCUAUAAUGUUUUGAAUGUAAAACACAUAGGCCUAAAAUAGUAGCCUUAUAGCCUAGUGGUUGUAUCUGCGUAGGCUAUGUAAUGACCUAAUGUUGCCUCUUGGUGAUCAUCAUCAUGAGCAGGCAUAACAAUGUUUUGAUUUCAGUCACCUGCGACUGCGUGCAAAAAAACUUUUUUUACGACUGAUAUAGAACAACAAAAUCACAUCAACACUGUCAAAAGCAGUACCAUGCUUGGAUAACUGAGGAGACUCCUUUUCAGGAGAAAAGAGGAGCCACAUUUUAACUGAAUGAUUCCUGAACUACCAGGGCUGAGGAGUCUGGAUGGAACUUACCACGUUAAGUCGUAAACGAUCUCUGUUAAGUGGAUAUGAAAAAGAGCCUCCGCUGUACACAAAGAAAUGUCUGAAAACUCUGCUGGACAGAUAUGAGACUGACAGAGCCACAGAGCAUGCCAAACUGAAGACGAGCUGGGGUCGGCCCUGCACACCUGAAGCCUGUGUGAAUGGACGGUCACAACUCCUGAC
Molecule: long non-coding RNA, 1273 nt
Organism: Perca flavescens (yellow perch)
Lineage: Eukaryota; Metazoa; Chordata; Actinopteri; Perciformes; Percidae
Exons: 4
Source: RefSeq, a predicted model, not a curated record